This 1114-nucleotide ribosomal RNA is filed under the name uncultured Acidovorax sp. RNAcentral's name for it is "bacterial SSU rRNA". It matches the Rfam family "Bacterial small subunit ribosomal RNA", at positions 198 to 1299 of the family's 1533-position model. The record is from RNAcentral. Lineage: Bacteria; Pseudomonadati; Pseudomonadota; Betaproteobacteria; Burkholderiales; Comamonadaceae.
CAGGGACCGCAAGGCCUUGCGCUCACGGAGCGGCCGAUGGCAGAUUAGGUAGUUGGUGGGAUAAAAGCUUACCAAGCCGACGAUCUGUAGCUGGUCUGAGAGGACGACCAGCCACACUGGGACUGGGACACGGCCCAGACUCCUACGGGAGGCGGCAGUGGGGAAUUUUGGACAAUGGGCGCAAGCCUGAUCCAGCCAUGCCGCGUGCAGGAUGAAGGCCUUCGGGUUGUAAACUGCUUUUGUACGGAACGAAAAGACUCUGGUUAAUACCUGGGGUCCAUGACGGUACCGUAAGAAUAAGCACCGGCUAACUACGUGCCAGCAGCCGCGGUAAUACGUAGGGUGCGAGCGUUAAUCGGAAUUACUGGGCGUAAAGCGUGCGCAGGCGGUUAUGUAAGACAGAUGUGAAAUCCCCGGGUUCAACCUGGGAACUGCAUUUGUGACUGCAUAGCUAGAGUACGGCAGAGGGGGAUGGAAUUCCGCGUGUAGCAGUGAAAUGCGAGAGUAUGCGGAGGAANCANNCCGAUGGCGAAGGCAAUCCCCUGGGCCUGUACUGACGCUCAUGCACGAAAGCGUGGGGAGCNAACAGGAUUAGAUACCCUGGUAGUCCACGCCCUAACCGUUCUCAACUGGUUGUUGGGUCUUCACUGACUCAGUAACGAAGCUAACGCGUGAAGUUGACCGCCUGNGGGAGUNACGGCCGNCAAGNGNUUUACUACUCAAAGGAAUUGACGGGGACCCGCACAAGCGGUGGAUGAUGUGGUUUAAUUCGAUGCAACGCGAAAAACCUUACCCACCUUUGACAUGUACGGAAUCCUUUAGAGAUAGAGGAGUGCUCGAAAGAGAGCCGUAACACAGGUGCUGCAUGGCUGUCGUCAGCUCGUGUCGUGAGAUGUUGGGUUAAGUCCCGCAACGAGCGCAACCCUUGCCAUUAGUUGCUACGAAAGGGCACUCUAAUGGGACUGCCGGUGACAAACCGGAGGAAGGUGGUUUCUUACGUCAAGUCCUCAUGGCCCUUAUAGGUGGGGCUACACACGUCAUACAAUGGCUGGUACAGAGGGUUGCCAACCCGCGAGGGGGAGCUAAUCCCAUAAAGCCAGUCGUAGUCCGGAUC